GGCGGGAUAGUUCAGGGGAUAGAACGCUGGCUUACUAACCCAGCUGUCGCCAGUUCGAAACUGCCCCCCGCCACCA
This 76-nucleotide transfer RNA is filed under the name Nitrospiraceae bacterium. RNAcentral describes it as "tRNA-Ser". It matches the Rfam family "tRNA". Rfam says of the family: Transfer RNA (tRNA) molecules are approximately 80 nucleotides in length. Their secondary structure includes four short double-helical elements and three loops (D, anti-codon, and T loops). Lineage: Bacteria; Pseudomonadati; Nitrospirota; Nitrospiria; Nitrospirales; Nitrospiraceae. The record is from RNAcentral.